CAAUGCAACACGUGCAGAUAUACUUCCUGACCGCUAGAUGUCCCUGUGAGACUGCGCUCUGAUCUCUACUGUUUAGUCAACGAACGUUUCCUGUCACUGGCUGCCGGUCUCUUCAUCACAUCAGUGCUCAUGAUUUCAAAGUCCAUCGAAUGCAGUCCAUAAUAAUGAAGAGCUCCAAGGAAGCCGUGCAGUCAGCUGCUAAAGAGUUUUUAAACUUUGUCAACAGAGGGGUGUCUCCAUUUCACGUGGUGGAAGAAUGUCGACGCCGUCUACUGGAAGCGGGAUUUGUUGAGCUGAAGGAGAUGGAGAAGUGGGACAUCAAGCCAUCCAGCAAGUACUUUGUGACCAGGAACUUCUCCAGUGUCAUUGCCUUUGUUGUUGGGGGCCGCUACUUGCCUGGAAACGGCUUCUCCAUGGUUGGAGCCCACACAGACAGCCCCUGUCUCAGGGUGAAGCCAAGGUCUAAGAGGAUGAAGCAGGGCUGCCUGCAGGUCGGCGUGGAGUGCUACGGUGGUGGCAUUUGGAACACAUGGUUUGAUCGCGACCUGACCAUUGCGGGGCGUGUCAUGGUUAAGCAAGAUGAGAGGAUUGUACAGCGGCUGGUGCAUGUGCCACGACCUCUGCUGAGAAUUCCUCACCUGGCCAUCCACUUACAGAGGGAUGUCAACGACUCCUUUGGUCCCAACAAGGAGAAUCACCUUGUGCCCAUUCUGGCCACGGCCAUCCAGGAAGAGCUGGAGACAGGCAGUACAUCGUCAGGAGAUGCCGUCAACGCUGCCAACACGGCCGAGAAACACCACACGGCACUGGUGAAGAUUUUGUGUUCAGAGCUGGGAGUUGAACCAGAAGCCCUGCUGGACUUCGAGCUCUGUCUGGCUGACACUCUGCCGGCGGUGCUGGGUGGCGUUUACGAAGAGUUCAUUUUCUCUCCUCGCCUGGACAACCUCCACAGCUGCUACUGCGCCAUACAGGGGCUGAUUGAGUCUUGCUUGGGGGACUCGCUGAACAAAGAUCCCAACAUCCGCAUGGUGACGCUGUAUGACAACGAAGAGGUGGGUUCAGAAAGUGCUCAGGGGGCGCAGUCAAACCUAACGGAGCUCAUCCUCAGUCGCCUGGCUGCCUCUUCCUCAAACCCCACCGCCUUCCAGCAGGCGGCGCCACUCUCCUUCAUGAUCAGUGCUGACAUGGCGCACGCUGUGCACCCCAACUACCAGGAGAAACAUGAGGAGAACCAUCGACCAUUCUUCCACAAGGGUCCAGUGAUCAAAUUCAACAGCAACCAGCGCUACGCCACCACGGCUGUGACCGCUGCUGUUGUCCGAGAGGUCGCCAGCCGAGUCGGUGUUCCUCUUCAGGAUGUGAUGGUACGUAACGACAGCCCAUGCGGAACCACCAUCGGACCCAUUCUGGCUGCUCGUCUUGGUGUGCCCGUGGUGGACAUUGGCGCUCCCCAACUCUCCAUGCACUCCAUCCGGGAGAUGUGCUGCACCUCCAGCGUAUUGCAAAGCACCACGCUCUUUAAGGCUUUCUUUGAGUUGUUUCCUCAUUUGAGGAGCUCGCUGGUGAUGGAUUAGAAUGAUGGAAGUGACGGACAUGAGGCGGAGUGGCUGCAGCACACCCUGGAUGUAAAACUUGUCAAUGCAAAGGUGCCACCCCUUGCUGUACACUACGCAGGGGCGCCACAAAGAGAAGAAAAGUGAUGAUUGACUGACAGGAGCCCAAGAACAUAGGACAUCGCCCCCAUAUUUCUACAAUGCUGCUAAAUGCCAACCAUCAGCUACUAGCAGCCGCUUGUGUCUGUUUUGUGGAAACAAGUUCCUUCUUCAACGCCUUUUCUUCAUUAAUCUGCCUUUUCAACCCUUCCUGGCCUCAUCAUUCUGUCCAGCAUCACUGAUUCUAAUCUCGGCAACAGGCUAAAGUGGCUGUUUGCUGGAGGGAGGCGGACAGAUACAAAUAUCGAUAUUGCCGAUACCGGGUU
Molecule: RNA transcript, 1978 nt
Organism: Dunckerocampus dactyliophorus (ringed pipefish)
Lineage: Eukaryota; Metazoa; Chordata; Actinopteri; Syngnathiformes; Syngnathidae
Gene: dnpep
Gene name: aspartyl aminopeptidase
Exons: 16
Source: RefSeq, a predicted model, not a curated record